RNAcentral lists this ribosomal RNA (465 nucleotides) under uncultured bacterium. Its description in RNAcentral is "partial 16S ribosomal RNA". It matches the Rfam family "Bacterial small subunit ribosomal RNA", at positions 28 to 507 of the family's 1533-position model. The record is from RNAcentral.
GACGAACGCUGGCGGCGUGCUUAACACAUGCAAGUCGUACGGUAAGGCCCUUUCGGGGGUACACGAGUGGCGAACGGGUGCGUAACACGUGAGUAACCUGCCCACAACUUUGGGAUAACGCUAGGAAACUGGUGCUAAUACUGGAUAUGUUCUCCUGCUGCAUGGUGGGGGUUGGAAAGCUCCGGCGGUUGUGGAUGGACUCGCGGCCUAUCAGCUUGUUGGUGGGGUAGUGGCCUACCAAGGCGGCGACGGGUAGCCGGCCUGAGAGGGUGACCGGCCACAUUGGGACUGAGAUACGGCCCAGACGCCUACGGGAGGCAGCAGUGGGGAAUAUUGCACAAUGGGCGCAAGCCUGAUGCAGCAACGCCGCGUGCGGGAUGACGGCCUUCGGGUUGUAAACCGCUUUCAGCAGGGACGAAGCUUUUUGUGACGGUACCUGCAGAAGAAGCACCGGCUAACUACGUG